Molecule: ribosomal RNA, 775 nt
Filed under: uncultured Neocallimastigales
Lineage: Eukaryota; Fungi; Neocallimastigomycota; Neocallimastigomycetes; Neocallimastigales
Description: partial large subunit ribosomal RNA
Rfam family: Eukaryotic large subunit ribosomal RNA
Source: RNAcentral
UAUGUGAUCGUCUCUCGCAUAUCAAUAAGCGGAGGAAAAGAAACUAACAAGGAUUCCCCUAGUAACGGCGAGUGAAGCGGGAAGAGCUCAAAUUUGAAAUCUUAAAGGGUUUCCCUUUACGAAUUGUAGUUUAAAGAAGUGUUUUCUGUUGAGGUUUUGGUAAAAGUUCUUUGGAAUAGGACAUCAUAGAGGGUGAGAAUCCCGUAUUUGACCUUUACUUUCAACUUUGUGAUACACCUUUCAAAGAGUCGGAUUGUUUGGGAAUGCAGUCCAAAAUGGGUGGUAAAUUUCAUCUAAAGCUAAAUAUUGGCGAGAGACCGAUAGCGAACAAGUACCGUGAGGGAAAGAUGAAAAGAACUUUGAAAAGAGAGUUAAACAGUACGUGAAAUUGUCAAAAGGGAAGCGUUUGACACCAGUGUUGUUUUUCUGAAAAUCAAUUAAAGAACUGUUUAUGCUAAGCUGUUUAGACUUUAUCAGCUAUCUGUUUAGUUUUGAGCUUUUCUUUAAUGCACUUUUCAGUUAACAAGUCAACAUCAAUUUCUUUUGCUGUAAAAAAGCUUGAGGAAGGUGGCUUGAGAUUCGUCUUAAGUGUUUAUAGCCUCUUGCCUAUGCAGUCGGAGAGAUUGAGGUCUGCAGCGUAGAUCCUUCGGGGCUAAAUGCAUUUGUGCUAAGUUAUAGCAUUUUAUAGACAACUUGUUGACUAUGAUUUGUCUUGUAGCUUACUCGCUUAUGUUAUUUUACCUACGCUUAGGAUGUUGAUCUACAGAGCGAGAGU